GUUUCUAUUAAAAAAAAAAAAAUUAAAGAACAUCUUAAUAGAUUGAAUAUAAAUAUUCAAGGAUUUAAGCACAUCUAAUACAAAAAAAAGUUUAUUAUCUAAGAUUGAUUGGUCUAUUAUAUAGGAUUAAGAACUCUGUUAAAAUUGUCAUGGUUUCUGUUUCUAAUUCGUGUGUUUUCUUUCCUCCGACUUGAAAAAAAAAAAAGG
This 207-nucleotide unclassified non-coding RNA is filed under the name Hevea brasiliensis (rubber tree). The record is from RNAcentral. Lineage: Eukaryota; Viridiplantae; Streptophyta; Magnoliopsida; Malpighiales; Euphorbiaceae.